Molecule: ribosomal RNA, 231 nt
Filed under: Escherichia coli
Lineage: Bacteria; Pseudomonadati; Pseudomonadota; Gammaproteobacteria; Enterobacterales; Enterobacteriaceae
Description: partial 16S ribosomal RNA
Rfam family: Bacterial small subunit ribosomal RNA
Source: RNAcentral
AAAUUGAAGAGUUUGAUCAUGGCUCAGAUUGAACGCUGGCGGCAGGCCUAACACAUGCAAGUCGAACGGUAACAGGAAGCAGCUUGCUGUUUCGCUGACGAGUGGCGGACGGGUGAGUAAUGUCUGGGAAACUGCCUGAUGGAGGGGGAUAACUACUGGAAACGGUAGCUAAUACCGCAUAACGUCGCAAGACCAAAGAGGGGGACCUUCGGGCCUCUUGCCAUCGGAUGU